This 1184-nucleotide ribosomal RNA is filed under the name uncultured Chryseobacterium sp. RNAcentral's name for it is "bacterial SSU rRNA". It matches the Rfam family "Bacterial small subunit ribosomal RNA", at positions 1 to 1190 of the family's 1533-position model. The record is from RNAcentral. Lineage: Bacteria; Pseudomonadati; Bacteroidota; Flavobacteriia; Flavobacteriales; Weeksellaceae.
UAGAGUUUGAUCCUGGCUCAGGAUGAACGCUAGCGGGAGGCCUAACACAUGCAAGCCGAGCGGUAUGGAUCUUUCGGGAUCCAGAGAGCGGCGUACGGGUGCGGAACACGUGUGCAACCUGCCUUUAUCAGGGGGAUAGCCUUUCGAAAGGAAGAUUAAUACCCCAUAAUAUUUAGAAUGGCAUCAUUUUAAAUUGAAAACUCCGGUGGAUAGAGAUGGGCACGCGCAAGAUUAGAUAGUUGGUGAGGUAACGGCUCACCAAGUCUGCGAUCUUUAGGGGGCCUGAGAGGGUGAUCCCCCACACUGGUACUGAGACACGGACCAGACUCCUACGGGAGGCAGCAGUGAGGAAUAUUGGACAAUGGGUGCGAGCCUGAUCCAGCCAUCCCGCGUGAAGGACGACGGCCCUAUGGGUUGUAAACUUCUUUUGUAUAGGGAUAAACCUACCCUCGUGAGGGUAGCUGAAGGUACUAUACGAAUAAGCACCGGCUAACUCCGUGCCAGCAGCCGCGGUAAUACGGAGGGUGCAAGCGUUAUCCGGAUUUAUUGGGUUUAAAGGGUCCGUAGGCUGAUGUGUAAGUCAGUGGUGAAAUCUCACAGCUUAACUGUGAAACUGCCAUUGAUACUGCAUGUCUUGAGUGUUGUUGAAGUAGCUGGAAUAAGUAGUGUAGCGGUGAAAUGCAUAGAUAUUACUUAGAACACCCAUUGCGAAGGCAGGUUACUAAGCAACAACUGACGCUGAUGGACGAAAGCGUGGGGAGCGAACAGGAUUAGAUACCCUGGUAGUCCACGCCGUAAACGAUGCUAACUCGUUUUUGGGUUUUCGGAUUCAGAGACUAAGCGAAAGUGAUAAGUUAGCCACCUGGGGAGUACGAACGCAAGUUUGAAACUCAAAGGAAUUGACGGGGGCCCGCACAAGCGGUGGAUUAUGGUGGUUUAAUUCGAUGAUACGCGAGGAACCUUACCAAGCUUAAAUGGGAAAUGACAGGUUUAAGAAAUAGACUUUUUCUUCGGACAUUUUCAGGUGCUGCAUGGUUGUCGUCAGCCUCGGUGCCGUGGAGGGGGUUAAGGUAAGUCUUGCACGAGCGCCACUCCUGUCCACUUAGUUGCAUUCAUAGUGGGGACCUCUAAGUGGAAACUGCCUAGCCAGUAAAGAGAGGAAGGGGUGGGAAUAUACCUCUCAU